RNAcentral lists this ribosomal RNA (480 nucleotides) under uncultured bacterium. RNAcentral describes it as "bacterial SSU rRNA". It matches the Rfam family "Bacterial small subunit ribosomal RNA", at positions 26 to 518 of the family's 1533-position model. The record is from RNAcentral.
AGGACGAACGCUGGCGGCGUGCCUAACACAUGCAAGUCGAGCGAGGAGAUUCCUUCGGGAUGAUCCUAGCGGCGGACGGGUGAGUAACACGUGGGCAACCUGCCUCAUAGAGAGGAAUAGCCUUCCGAAAGGGAGAUUAAUACCUCAUAACAUUGCAGUUUCGCAUGGAACAGCAAUUAAAGGAGUAAUCCGCUAUGAGAUGGGCCCGCGGCGCAUUAGCUAGUUGGUGAGGUAACGGCUCACCAAGGCGACGAUGCGUAGCCGACCUGAGAGGGUGAUCGGCCACAUUGGGACUGAGACACGGCCCAGACUCCUACGGGAGGCAGCAGGUGGGGAAUAUUGCACAAGUCGGGGGAAACCCCGAUGCAGACCAACGCCGCGUGAGUGAUGACGGCCUUCGGGUUGUAAAGCUCUGUCUUCAGGGACGAUAAUGACGGUACCUGAGGAGGAAGCCACGGCUAACUACGUGCCAGCAGCUGC